CAGCAGCCGCGGGAAAACAGAGGGUGCGAGCGUUAAUCGGAUUUACUGGGCGUAAAGCGUGCGUAGGCGGCUUCUUAAGUCGGAUGUGAAAUCCCUGAGCUUAACUUAGGAAUUGCAUUCGAUACUGGGAAGCUAGAGUAUGGGAGAGGAUGGUAGAAUUCCAGGUGUAGCGGUGAAAUGCGUAGAGAUCUGGAGGAAUACCGAUGGCGAAGGCAGCCAUCUGGCCUAAUACUGACGCUGAGGUACGAAAGCAUGGGGAGCAAACAGGAUUAGAUACCCGUGUAGUCCCUGUCUCUUAUAC
This 301-nucleotide ribosomal RNA is filed under the name uncultured bacterium. Its description in RNAcentral is "partial 16S ribosomal RNA". It matches the Rfam family "Bacterial small subunit ribosomal RNA", at positions 509 to 807 of the family's 1533-position model. The record is from RNAcentral.